RNAcentral lists this ribosomal RNA (950 nucleotides) under uncultured bacterium. Its description in RNAcentral is "bacterial SSU rRNA". It matches the Rfam family "Bacterial small subunit ribosomal RNA", at positions 31 to 979 of the family's 1533-position model. The record is from RNAcentral.
AAGGGCGUGGGGCGUGCUUACACUGCAAGUCGAACGGAGCACCCCUNGAAGAGUUUUCGGACAAUGGAAGGGAAUGCCUUAUGGCGGACUGGUGAGUAACGCGUGAGGAACCUGCCUUCCAGAGGGGGACAACAGUUGGAAACGACUGCUAAUACCGCAUGACACAUGGCCGUGGCAUCACGGACAUGUCAAAGAUUUAUCGCUGGAAGAUGGCCUCGCGUCUGAUUAGCUAGUAGGCGGGGUAAUGGCCCACCUAGGCGACGAUCAGUAGCCGGACUGAGAGGUUGACCGGCCACAUUGGGACUGAGAUACGGCCCAGACUCCUACGGGAGGCAGCAGUGGGGAAUAUUGGGCAAUGGGCGCAAGCCUGACCCAGCAACGCCGCGUGAAGGAAGAAGGCUUUCGGGUUGUAAACUUCUUUUAAGGGGGAAGAGCAGAAGACGGUACCCCUUGAAUAAGCCACGGCUAACUACGUGCCAGCAGCCGCGGUAAUACGUAGGUGGCAAGCGUUGUCCGGAUUUACUGGGUGUAAAGGGCGUGCAGCCGGGACUGCAAGUCAGAUGUGAAAUCCGCGGGCUUAACCCGCGAACUGCAUUUGAAACUGCGGAUCUUGAGUACCGGAGAGGUUAUCGGAAUUCCUUGUGUAGCGGUGAAAUGCGUAGAUAUAAGGAAGAACACCAGUGGCGAAGGCGGAUAACUGGACGGCAACUGACGGUGAGGCGCGAAAGCGUGGGGAACAAACAGGAUUUAAAUACCCUGGUAGUCCACGCUGUAAACGAUGGAUACUAGGUGUGCGGGGACUGACCCCCUGCGUGCCGCAUUCAACACAAUAAGUAUCCCACCUGGGGAGUACGAUCGCAAGGUUGAAACUCAAAAAAAUUGACGGGGGCCCCCACAAACGGUGAAUUAUGUGGUUUAAUUCAAACCAACCCCGAAAAACCUUACCAGGC